CCCUUAGAUGUUCUGGGCCGCACGCGCGCUACACUGACGGAUUCAACGAGCUUACAACCCUGGCCGAAAGGUCUGGGUAAUCUCCAAAAUCCGUCGUGAUGGGGAUAGAUUAUUGCAAUUAUUAAUCUUCAACGAGGAAUGCCUAGUAAGCGCAAGUCAUCAGCUUGCGUUGAUUACGUCCCUGCCCUUUGUACACACCGCCCGUCGCUCCUACCGAUUGAAUGGUCCGGUGAAGCGUUUGGACUAUGGUUUUCUGAUGGUCCGCCGUUGGAUUACCGUGGGAAGUUCGUUAAACCUUAUCAUUUAGAGGAAGGAGAAGUCGUAACA
Molecule: ribosomal RNA, 327 nt
Filed under: uncultured eukaryote
Lineage: Eukaryota
Description: partial 18S ribosomal RNA
Rfam family: Eukaryotic small subunit ribosomal RNA
Source: RNAcentral